Long non-coding RNA from Bufo bufo (common toad), 124 nucleotides. RefSeq lists it as uncharacterized. The record is from RefSeq and is a predicted model, not a curated record. The transcript has 3 exons. Lineage: Eukaryota; Metazoa; Chordata; Amphibia; Anura; Bufonidae.
GGGGCACUGCGCCAGCAGCGGUGCCACGACCUUCUCUCAGCUCAUCAAGCACAGUGACAUACAUUGUAUAGCAGCUGUGUUUGGUAUUGCAGCUCAGCCCCAUUUACUUCAAUGGGGCUGAGCU